CAGUCGUACGCUUCUUUUUCCCCGGAGCUUGCUCCACCGGAAAAAGAAGAGUGGCGAACGGGUGAGUAACACGUGGGUAACCUGCCCAUCAGAAGGGGAUAACACUUGGAAACAGGUGCUAAUACCGUAUAACAAUCGAAACCGCAUGGUUUUGAUUUGAAAGGCGCUUUCGGGUGUCGCUGAUGGAUGGACCCGCGGUGCAUUAGCUAGUUGGUGAGGUAACGGCUCACCAAGGCCACGAUGCAUAGCCGACCUGAGAGGGUGAUCGGCCACAUUGGGACUGAGACACGGCCCAAACUCCUACGGGAGGCAGCAGUAGGGAAUCUUCGGCAAUGGACGAAAGUCUGACCGAGCAACGCCGCGUGAGUGAAGAAGGUUUUCGGAUCGUAAAACUCUGUUGUUAGAGAAGAACAAGGAUGAGAGUAACUGUUCAUCCCUUGACGGUAUCUAACCAGAAAGCCACGGCUAACUACGUGCCAGCAGCCGCGGUAAUACGUAGGUGGCAAGCGUUGUCCGGAUUUAUUGGGCGUAAAGCGAGCGCAGGCGGUUUCUUAAGUCUGAUGUGAAAGCCCCCGGCUCAACCGGGGAGGGUCAUUGGAAACUGGGAGACUUGAGUGCAGAAGAGGAGAGUGGAAUUCCAUGUGUAGCGGUGAAAUGCGUAGAUAUAUGGAGGAACACCAGUGGCGAAGGCGGCUCUCUGGUCUGUAACUGACGCUGAGGCUCGAAAGCGUGGGGAGCAAACAGGAUUAGAUACCCUGGUAGUCCACGCCGUAAACGAUGAGUGCUAAGUGUUGGAGGGUUUCCGCCCUUCAGUGCUGCAGCUAACGCAUUAAGCACUCCGCCUGGGGAGUACGACCGCAAGGUUGAAACUCAAAGGAAUUGACGGGGGCCCGCACAAGCGGUGGAGCAUGUGGUUUAAUUCGAAGCAACGCGAAGAACCUUACCAGGUCUUGACAUCCUUUGACCACUCUAGAGAUAGAGCUUCCCCUUCGGGGGCAAAGUGACAGGUGGUGCAUGGUUGUCGUCAGCUCGUGUCGUGAGAUGUUGGGUUAAGUCCCGCAACGAGCGCAACCCUUAUUGUUAGUUGCCAUCAUUCAGUUGGGCACUCUAGCAAGACUGCCGGUGACAAACCGGAGGAAGGUGGGGAUGACGUCAAAUCAUCAUGCCCCUUAUGACCUGGGCUACACACGUGCUACAAUGGGAAGUACAACGAGUCGCGAAGUCGCGAGGCUAAGCUAAUCUCUUAAAGCUUCUCUCAGUUCGGAUUGUAGGCUGCAACUCGCCUACAUGAAGCCGGAAUCGCUAGUAAUCGCGGAUCAGCACGCCGCGGUGAAUACGUUCCCGGGCCUUGUACACA
This 1357-nucleotide ribosomal RNA is filed under the name Enterococcus durans. RNAcentral's name for it is "bacterial SSU rRNA". It matches the Rfam family "Bacterial small subunit ribosomal RNA", at positions 59 to 1389 of the family's 1533-position model. Lineage: Bacteria; Bacillati; Bacillota; Bacilli; Lactobacillales; Enterococcaceae. The record is from RNAcentral.